This 252-nucleotide ribosomal RNA is filed under the name uncultured bacterium. Its description in RNAcentral is "partial 16S ribosomal RNA". It matches the Rfam family "Bacterial small subunit ribosomal RNA", at positions 524 to 776 of the family's 1533-position model. The record is from RNAcentral.
UACGUAGGGACCAAGCGUUGUUCGGAUUCCUGGGCGUAAAGGGCGCGUAGGCGGCUUGACAAGUCACUUGUGAAAUCUCCGGGCUUAACUCGGAACGGCCAAGUGAAACUGUCAUGCUAGAGUGCAGAAGGGGCAAUCGGAAUUCUUGGUGUAGCGGUGAAAUGCGUAGAUAUCAAGAGGAACACCUGAGGUGAAGACGGGUUGCUGGGCUGACACUGACGCUGAGGCGCGAAAGCCAGGGGAGCAAACGGG